CUUUCCAGAGAUGGAUUGGUGCCUUCGGGAACUCUGAGACAGGUGCUGCAUGGCUGUCGUCAGCUCGUGUUGUGAAAUGUUGGGUUAAGUCCCGCAACGAGCGCAACCCUUAUCCUUGUUUGCCAGCGAGUAAUGUGGGAACUCCAGGGAGACUGCCGGUGAUAAACCGGAGGAAGGUGGGGACGACGUCAAGUCAUCAUGGCCCUUACGAGUAGGGCUACACACGUGCUACAAUGGCGCAUACAGAGGGCAGCCAACUUGCGAAAGUGAGCGAAUCCCAAAAAGUGCGUCGUAGUCCGGAUUGGAGUCUGCAACUCGACUCCAUGAAGUCGGAAUCGCUAGUAAUCGUGGAUCAGAAUGCCACGGUGAAUACGUUCCCGGGCCUUGUACACACCGCCCGUCACACCAUGGGAGUGGGCUGCAAAAGAAGUAGGUAGUUUAACCUUCGGGGGGACGCUUACCACUUUGUGGUUCAUGACUGGGGUGAAGUCGUAACAAGGUAGCGCUAGGGGAACCUGGCGCUGGAUCACCUCCUUAAACGAUGAU
Molecule: ribosomal RNA, 546 nt
Filed under: Vibrio parahaemolyticus
Lineage: Bacteria; Pseudomonadati; Pseudomonadota; Gammaproteobacteria; Vibrionales; Vibrionaceae
Description: bacterial SSU rRNA
Rfam family: Bacterial small subunit ribosomal RNA
Source: RNAcentral